RNAcentral lists this ribosomal RNA (1395 nucleotides) under uncultured bacterium. RNAcentral describes it as "bacterial SSU rRNA". It matches the Rfam family "Bacterial small subunit ribosomal RNA". The record is from RNAcentral.
AGAGUUUGAUCCUGGCUCAGAUUGAACGCUGGCGGCAGGCCUAACACAUGCAAGUCGAGCGGUAGAGAGAAGCUUGCUUUUCUUGAGAGCGGCGGACGGGUGAGUAAUGCCUAGGAAUCUGCCUGGUAGUGGGGGAUAACGUUCGGAAACGGACGCUAAUACCGCAUACGUCCUACGGGAGAAAGCAGGGGACCUUCGGGCCUUGCGCUAUCAGAUGAGCCUAGGUCGGAUUAGCUAGUUGGUGAGGUAAUGGCUCACCAAGGCGACGAUCCGUAACUGGUCUGAGAGGAUGAUCAGUCACACUGGAACUGAGACACGGUCCAGACUCCUACGGGAGGCAGCAGUGGGGAAUAUUGGACAAUGGGCGAAAGCCUGAUCCAGCCAUGCCGCGUGUGUGAAGAAGGUCUUCGGAUUGUAAAGCACUUUAAGUUGGGAGGAAGGGCAGUAAAUUAAUACUUUGCUGUUUUGACGUUACCGACAGAAUAAGCACCGGCUAACUCUGUGCCAGCAGCCGCGGUAAUACAGAGGGUGCAAGCGUUAAUCGGAAUUACUGGGCGUAAAGCGCGCGUAGGUGGUUUGUUAAGUUGGAUGUGAAAUCCCCGGGCUCAACCUGGGAACUGCAUUCAAAACUGACUGACUAGAGUAUGGUAGAGGGUGGUGGAAUUUCCUGUGUAGCGGUGAAAUGCGUAGAUAUAGGAAGGAACACCAGUGGCGAAGGCGACCACCUGGACUAAUACUGACACUGAGGUGCGAAAGCGUAGGGAGCAAACAGGAUUAGAUACCCUGGUAGUCCACGCCGUAAACGAUGUCAACUAGCCGUUGGAAGCCUUGAGCUUUUAGUGGCGCAGCUAACGCAUUAAGUUGACCGCCUGGGGAGUACGGCCGCAAGGUUAAAACUCAAAUGAAUUGACGGGGGCCCGCACAAGCGGUGGAGCAUGUGGUUUAAUUCGAAGCAACGCGAAGAACCUUACCAGGCCUUGACAUCCAAUGAACUUUCUAGAGAUAGAUUGGUGCCUUCGGGAACAUUGAGACAGGUGCUGCAUGGCUGUCGUCAGCUCGUGUCGUGAGAUGUUGGGUUAAGUCCCGUAACGAGCGCAACCCUUGUCCUUAGUUACCAGCACGUCAUGGUGGGCACUCUAAGGAGACUGCCGGUGACAAACCGGAGGAAGGUGGGGAUGACGUCAAGUCAUCAUGGCCCUUACGGCCUGGGCUACACACGUGCUACAAUGGUCGGUACAGAGGGUUGCCAAGCCGCGAGGUGGAGCUAAUCCCACAAAACCGAUCGUAGUCCGGAUCGCAGUCUGCAACUCGACUGCGUGAAGUCGGAAUCGCUAGUAAUCGCGAAUCAGAAUGUCGCGGUGAAUACGUUCCCGGGCCUUGUACUCACCGCCCGUC